This 126-nucleotide ribosomal RNA is filed under the name uncultured Cenococcum. RNAcentral's name for it is "partial 5.8S ribosomal RNA". It matches the Rfam family "5.8S ribosomal RNA", at positions 1 to 127 of the family's 154-position model. Rfam says of the family: 5.8S ribosomal RNA (5.8S rRNA) is a component of the large subunit of the eukaryotic ribosome. It is transcribed by RNA polymerase I as part of the 45S precursor that also contains 18S and 28S rRNA. Lineage: Eukaryota; Fungi; Ascomycota; Dothideomycetes; Gloniales; Gloniaceae. The record is from RNAcentral.
AAACUUUCAACAACGGAUCUCUUGGUUCUGGCAUCGAUGAAGAACGCAGCGAAAUGCGAUAAGUAGUGUGAAUUGCAGAAUUCAGUGAAUCAUCGAAUCUUUGAACGCCAUGCGCCCUUGGUAUCC